UCCUCGGCCAGUAUAGUGGUCAGUAUCCCCGCCUGUCACGCGGGAGGCCGAGUUCGAUUCCUGCCGGGGAG
Molecule: transfer RNA, 71 nt
Filed under: Trichonephila inaurata madagascariensis
Lineage: Eukaryota; Metazoa; Arthropoda; Arachnida; Araneae; Nephilidae
Description: tRNA-Asp
Rfam family: tRNA
About the family: Transfer RNA (tRNA) molecules are approximately 80 nucleotides in length. Their secondary structure includes four short double-helical elements and three loops (D, anti-codon, and T loops). Further hydrogen bonds mediate the characteristic L-shaped molecular structure. tRNAs have two regions of fundamental functional importance: the anti-codon, which is responsible for specific mRNA codon recognition, and the 3' end, to which the tRNAs corresponding amino acid is attached (by aminoacyl-tRNA synthetases). tRNAs cope with the degeneracy of the genetic code in two manners: having more than one tRNA (with a specific anti-codon) for a particular amino acid; and 'wobble' base-pairing, i.e. permitting non-standard base-pairing at the 3rd anti-codon position.
Source: RNAcentral